RNAcentral lists this ribosomal RNA (395 nucleotides) under uncultured bacterium. Its description in RNAcentral is "partial 16S ribosomal RNA". It matches the Rfam family "Bacterial small subunit ribosomal RNA", at positions 338 to 730 of the family's 1533-position model. The record is from RNAcentral.
CCUACGGGGGGCAGCAGUGAGGAAUAUUGGUCAAUGGGCGCGAGCCUGAACCAGCCAAGUCGCGUGAGGGAUGAAGGUUCAAUGGAUCGUAAACCUCUUUUAUCAGGGAAUAAAGUGUGGGACGUGUCCCAUUUUGUGUGUACCUUAUGAAUAAGCAUCGGCUAACUCCGUGCCAGCAGCCGCGGUAAUACGGAGGAUCCGAGCGUUAUCCGGAUUUAUUGGGUUUAAAGGGUGCGGAGGCGGCCUGUUAAGUCAGCGGUGAAAGGCUGGGGCUCAACCAUGGCAUGGCCGUUGAACCUGGGAGUCUUGAGUAGGAGUGAGGCAGGAGGAAUGCGUGGUGUAGCGGUGAAAUGCAUAGAUAUCGCGCAGAACCCCGAUUGCGAAGGCAGCAUGCC